UUGAUUGAUUUGUUUUUUUUCUCAGACGACACAGUAUUCAGAGUUUGGGUCUCUGGCGACGGAGGCCGGGCAGAACUCUCGGCGUUCUGCAAAACGUUGUAAAAAUACAAUUACAAGUAAUAGAGACAUCAAGAGGCCGCCCAACCCGCACAGACGCGCAAGAAUCCGGAGACUCUCGCACCGUCCACAUCCGCCAAAGCAACAUGACACAAAACAAGGGUGGAGAGUGCGAUCGCUCGCAUCACUCGGUAAUGAUCCUUCCGCAGGUUCACCUACGGAAA
This 281-nucleotide unclassified non-coding RNA is filed under the name uncultured fungus. RNAcentral describes it as "sequence contains ITS1". Lineage: Eukaryota; Fungi. The record is from RNAcentral.